Lycium ferocissimum is the source of this 560-nucleotide long non-coding RNA. RefSeq lists it as uncharacterized. Lineage: Eukaryota; Viridiplantae; Streptophyta; Magnoliopsida; Solanales; Solanaceae. The record is from RefSeq and is a predicted model, not a curated record. The transcript has 2 exons.
CAGAAACGUUGCACGGGUUCGUGCUACGCUGACGAGCACUAUUUGCUGAUGUUCGUGAGCAUGAAAUUUGGGAGGAGGAACUCGGGCCGGAGCUUGACAUGGGUUGACUGGUCAAAGGGCGGGCCUCACCCGGCCCGUUUUCAUCGGUCAGAUGUAACUGUUGAGUUCCUGGAGAAGCUAAGGAGUGAGAGUCGUUGUGAAUACAAUGGUGGGAAGACAAGUGUUUGUUACUUGUUUGCAAGGAAGUUUGCCGCUCAUGCUUUGAGUAGACUCUUGAUUUUUGCACCAAAGCUGAAAUUGAUGCAAAGUUUCUCCGUAUGAGAUACGACGCAAAUCGACAAGGCAACCCUGAAUGCAUUUAUUGAUAACGAGCAACCACCAAUAGCUGUCAAUGCUACCGUUGAUUAUGAUGCAGUGAUUUUAGUAGACGUUCAGGAGUAGAUUUGUAGACAGAACAAUUUAUGUUUUAAGUUUUUUUUUUUUCUCCAACUUUUUUUUUGAUGUAUAACAUCACUGUUGCGACAUUAUUUUUAUGAAGAUUUUAGAAGAAGUUUUAUGUA